AGCGAACGCUGGCGGCAGGCUUAACACAUGCAAGUCGAACGGGCGUAGCAAUACGUCAGUGGCAGACGGGUGAGUAACGCGUGGGAACGUACCUUUUGGUUCGGAACAACACAGGGAAACUUGUGCUAAUACCGGAUAAGCCCUUACGGGGAAAGAUUUAUCGCCAAAAGAUCGGCCCGCGUCUGAUUAGCUAGUUGGUGAGGUAACGGCUCACCAAGGCGACGAUCAGUAGCUGGCUGAGAGGAUGAUCAGCCACAUUGGGACUGAGACACGGCCCAAACUCCUACGGGAGGCAGCAGUGGGGAAUAUUGGACAAUGGGCGAAAGCCUGAUCCAGCCAUGCCGCGUGAGUGAUGAAGGCCCUAGGGUUGUAAAGCUCUUUUGUGCGGGAAGAU
Molecule: ribosomal RNA, 394 nt
Filed under: uncultured bacterium
Lineage: Bacteria
Description: bacterial SSU rRNA
Rfam family: Bacterial small subunit ribosomal RNA
Source: RNAcentral